UACGUAGGGGGCAAGCGUUGUCCGGAUUUAUUGGGCGUAAAGAGCGUGUAGGCGGCCAUACAGGUCCGUUGUGAAAACUGGAGGCUUAACCUCCAGACGUCGAUGGAAACCGUAUGGCUAGAGUCCGGAAGAGGAGAGUGGAAUUCCUGGUGUAGCGGUGAAAUGCGCAGAUAUCAGGAGGAACACCGAUGGCGAAGGCAGGUCUCUGGGCCACUACUGACGCUGAGAAGCGAAAGCAUGGGGAGCGAACAGG
Molecule: ribosomal RNA, 253 nt
Filed under: uncultured bacterium
Lineage: Bacteria
Description: partial 16S ribosomal RNA
Rfam family: Bacterial small subunit ribosomal RNA
Source: RNAcentral